UCGUUUCCUGUGGCCUGGCUGUUUCUAAGCUGAUUUCCUGUAACACCCUAGUGACUGCUUCACAACCAUCCUCUCGCUGUCUCUUGAAAAGUGCAUAGCAGUUUGAACUUUACCUCUUGACACCCUAGCCUCAUCAUGCACCCUUUACCACAAACCCAGAAAACACAUUGUAGCUCUGCAAUUCUUUAGCUGCAAUUUUUUUUUGCUGUGCCAAGUUCAAAAGCUAACGGAAAAGGAACAAUGUAUUUGCCACAAUCAUGAGGUUUCCACCAGUUGAAAUGUUUCUAAUGGAAUGUUUCACAGGUAUUCAUUAGGAAAGAGCAUCCGAGAGAUGGACAGGUGAGGGAGGAGAAAGCACAAGAGAGCUGGAGUUCAGGUGACUUCAUUUUGUAACCGUAGGUAGAUUUGGUCGGAGAGGACGAGUUUAAACAUGGAGGGAGGAACAUGCAACUAAAUGUUGAGGUGCAGAACAACUGUGCUGUGUUUGAGGAUUCAGGGGCGAACAAGGAGGCCACAGAACCUUCCUGCUGGCCUUCAUGGUAGUUUCCCUGUAUUUACCGGCCUGCGCAGUCGGAAAUGAGUCUGGUGAAAACGUGUACAGAAAUUGAAACAAAAUUGUUCUUUUUUUGAAGUGGAGAAAUAGACCACACUCUAACUUCCUAAAAAAUAUAUAAUUUGUUUUUACAACUUCUGUGUAUUUAUGUCUAAUUCAUAAACGGGCAUGGAUAUUUUGGGGAUGUUGGGACUUGAUCACAACAAAUGAUCAAAAGAGCUAUGUAUCAUUAAGCUAUUACAUAAGAUCUUAUUUGAACCUUGUAUCAGGCUAUAGAAAUUUGAUUUUGCAAAUGGACAACUCUCCAAAAAUAUCUUUUGAGUGAAAAAAAACGAUACAAACCUACGUCCCACUGUGUGGAACUGAAAGUAGAGGCAUCGUGUCUGUAUGGUCAUGAAAAAAAGGAGGAGAGGUUUUCACUACGUAGCCAACAAGUCAUACUGAAAGUAUGCUGGCUUAAGUACAGCUCACAAAAUUCAUAGACAGCCAAAACUGAGCACAUCCACAGAACUAGCAUCAUCAUCUUUCUCUGGUUUGGUCUUUGGAACGUCUAAACAGACUCGGGCUUGAGAAAAUAAACAGCAAAAAAAAGCUUGCUACCGCUGAAAGGGAAAAUGGAAAAUCACACGGAUGAUCGUACCACGGUCACCUCAGUCACAACGGGCAUGGCAGAGUUGGUGACCACGUUGGUCUCCAGCACCAUUGACACCUCCCUCUACACCAACUCAACCUCUGGUAAAAACACCCCAUUUCCUACUGAUUUUCUGGACAUCAUCGAGGCCAACGACAUAAUGUCCAGGGCGACCUACGUCUACGCCAUCUUCAUGGCGCUAGCCUUGGUCUCGGUAGUCUUCCUCCUCUACGGUUUCAUCCAGUCGUACACUGCCCAGAGGGAGCUGGCCCUGGUAGACUCUGUGCUCCUGGCCUUCAGCGUGUCCCAGCUCCUCCUCCUGCUCCUCUCCCUCUCCUCCGUGGCCUACAGGCCCAAAUACCUGGAAGCCACGCGCCUGGGCUGUGCCACACUCUCCUUCUCUGUCAACACGGUGUUCCUCUGGGGGAUGCUGCUCCUGGUGCUCAUGGGCUACAUGCUGACCUUCGACGCCACGUCCCACCCCCUGCUGGGACACUCUUGGGUGUGCGUGGGUCUGGCUCUGCUGGUCUCAGGCCUGUCCUCGGUGCUGCUGGCCGGGCUGAGAUGGGCCAGCCAGGGUCUGGAGGGGACGGAGAGAUGCGUCAUAGACGCGGUCGAAGCUGGGCGUUCUUACAUUGUCGCUAAGCUCUGCGUGUCCUUCCUGAUCCCUUACUUACUCCUCCUGUGCCUUCUGGUUGGCGGCUGCGUCCACCAAUGGAAAUCCAGUGGACGCUUCCUGUCGGGCGCAGAAGAAAGGUCGGUGUUUCUGGCGGUCGGCGCGGCGACGUUCGCUUGUCAGGUGUUUUACUUUGCGGCGCUGUUGAGAGGGGUGGGGCUGGAGGGGCUGAACCAUCGGGAACGGGCGUUCCUGAGCGUGGCGGAGUUGGUGAUGUACUCUGGGAGCUGUGUGUGUCUGGGGCUGGUACUGCUGCUUCACAGGCCCAGCCGAGAGAGCCUGGUGAGGGCAGGGCGCCAGCUCAGGGACUGCUGUCGCAGCCUGAGGGGAGGGCAGACGCACAGCCAAGUGAUCGCCCCGCACAUAGAGAUCGGAUCACAGAUGUCGGAAUGGACGGUGACCACAUAGGCCGUGAACUGUAUCUGACGCUCUGGAGCCCUGAACACAAAGUGUAACCCGUGCUGUAGAAGUUAAUGGUUUACCAAAGUCCAUCAACAGAAAUACUGAGCUGUUGUUUUGUGAGCAGCUUGCUGAAUUGAAAUUCAAUUUAGUUUCUUCAGCAAAAGCAUCAGUUCAUCUUAAACUAAAUAUACUCAAUAUUUAUUUUUUUGCCAAAAAUAUUAUUUUGGACUUGUAAAACAGUACUGUAUCUGGAAGGCUUUUAUUAAUUGUCUGGAAAAUCUCACUGAAAUGUUUACUGCCAAAUGCACAACUAAACAUUUAUUGCACAUUUGUUCAUAUUUAAGUAUUAUGUCAGCAGCUAUUUGUACAUUCUGGAACCAUUGCAUAAUGUUGUAGAACUUUUUUCAUUUUAUAGUCGAAUAUCCCUUAACGUGUAUGAAAAACUGUUACAUGUCAUUAUAAAAUUAUAAUAAAAGCAACCCUUGAGUUAUCAUGUUGCUCCUUAACAUGCACCGCUUUUCUAAGAAAACACCAACAUUGCAUCAAAACAGAGCAUAACUACUAAGUUUAUGUCAAUGCCUGACACCCAUAGUAAAAUACAUGAUAGGAAGACAGCUUGUCAUGGCCGCUAAAUUCAUUAAGCGUUUUUGGAUCACUAAAACUUCCAUAACCACAACAGGGUGAAACAGCAAUAGAGGCCAGACAUUAAAAAAAAAACCAUCAAGGUGCUCCUGUUCUAGGAAUAACUAAGCCAGCAUACUUUACCUCCCCACACACACCAUGAGUGCCAGCGGGCAACAGGGGCAUGGGACCAGGAGAAAAAAAACUACAUGUGAAGCUCUCGGUUGAAUAAGGGCCCUUUAGGAGACUCAAGACUAGAGUGAAUGAAAGGUGUACCGAACUUUGCAAAAAGUAAACACUCUGGGAUUGUUACUGUCCUGGUGAGUGUGCAACAGCCCAGGAUACAUAAUAAUAAUAAUAAAAAUAAGUGAUUAAAUCUCAUUUUAAAAUGAUUCUAUUGUCUGAAUAAUCAAGCCUUAUUUAAGACACACCUGUGCACGAAGAACACCGAUCCAAAAAUAGUAUUUAAGAAGAUUUUAAACAAUGUUUGUGAUUAAGUUCUGAAAAACAAGUUUAGGUCACAGUAAAUACAUGUUGCUGAAAUGCAUCUUGUUUUGUGUAAACGGAAUGCCUAGCCGCUACCUUGCAUACCCCUAUUGAUGUAUUUAAACAAAAUACAAUACAAGUCACACAUCACUAAUAGAAUGGCUAACAGCCUGGAGAUAUACUUCCCCAGUUUUGCAGAAGUUGUGAUCUGAAAAGUUAACAUUAAACAUGCAGUUGUCAAUGUCAACUAUGUAAAAAAGUACCCUAAAAAAAGUAUUCUCUGCCAGUCAGAUUCUAAACUUGAGUGUGAAUGAGUGAGUGAGUGAGUGAGAGAGAGAGUGUGUGAGUGAGUGUGUGAGUGAGUGAGAGUGUGUGUGAAAGGGUGUGAGAGAGAGAGAGACAGAGAGAGACAGAGCGAGAAGGGUAGGAGUGGCAGGGUUGGGGAGGCGUUAAGCUACCUUGAACAAGAGAUUAGUUUAUCUAAACUCUCGUGUUGUAUUUGAUUUACGGUGACAGAGUAGAUCUGUGAAAGCUUCCAUCUCCCUUAUUGCUGCACGGUUAACGAUCUGAAUUUAAGCAGGAUAAGAGAGGACCUCAAGGACAUUAUGCACUCAAGAGUGAACCAUCAAGGAAACUCCGCUGAUCACAACAUGAACAGCUCGACGGCUCUGAGCAGAAGAUGAAGAUUUACCACUGUGUUUUAUUGACUUCCCGACAACUAUAAAUUCAAAACGAUAUCCCGCCGCAGCAAAACCGGAGACGCACCUUGAUGUUCCAGGUGCAAUCACAGCAGCGUGAAAAUGAGGCUCCGAAACAAACGACUCACUGCCAGAACAUAGGAGCUAUGGAGGUGCGGUCCUACACAGGCAGUGAGGUUUACGGCAACUCCACUGAGGGACUUAAUGGCUCUUCUGUUCGAGGCCUUGGCCUGGCGGGAGAGG
Molecule: RNA transcript, 4310 nt
Organism: Hypomesus transpacificus
Lineage: Eukaryota; Metazoa; Chordata; Actinopteri; Osmeriformes; Osmeridae
Gene name: G-protein coupled estrogen receptor 1-like
Exons: 3
Source: RefSeq, a predicted model, not a curated record